CCGGACUGCUCGGGGUUAGGCUGGGCAUCGGUCAGCGAGUGUGGCAUAUGUCUCUGAAAGAGAAGAACAAGAUGCCCAUCCAUGCAUAAGCAAGCUUAAAAUGCCUCUUAGAGCAGAUUUAAUGUAAUGUACACAUGCCUUUGUGGAAUGACUCUGACAGAAGCAAUGCUGACACCUGCCUGGCUUUCACUGAGAGAAAGAACUAAAUUUCAGAGCGGGUUCAAAGGGAGAAGACAACAGGAGGCCCAUGAACCUCUAGAACCCUACAGCAGAUGGGAAGAGGGGGAAAAGAAAUAAAAUUAGGUUCUUCCGCAGAGCAGAGGAAACACGGCAAAAAUAUUUAUUGUUCCUCUCCAGAGGUUGUUUUGUUUUGUUUUUAAAUUAUUAUUAAUUUCAAAUACCAUUGUCACAGUUAAGAAAUAAAUAUCAGUUAAAUAGCAGAAAGUUUAAUCUGCAUUACUGUAGUGGAAAUGGAUAGCUCAGAUUUCAAUUUUACAGUGCAGGAACAGCCUCUUUCUGUUUGAUAUCAUUUAUCAAAAUCCAAUUGUCAAAUGCUAAAACACUCACUAACAUGAUGUAUUUUAGAAUAAUCAAUCUUACUUUUUACAAACAAAAAACUGAAGAGGAUAAUACACAUCUGCCAUUUCAACAUAUUAAAUGAAAAAAUGUUACUAGUAACAAAAGAAAAAAUAAUAUGAAUUCUUCAAAGCGCUUCAUUACAUUACUUCCUAAUCAAUUAUUAGAAAGCCUUGUAACAUUAUAAUGGCUGAAGACAUUUGAUAGAUUCACGCAGCAUUUGCUUGUUACUUGUAAAGAUGUUCAGCAUUGUGUUCUAAAUAAAUAUCUGUGACUACAAA
This is a long non-coding RNA of Anas platyrhynchos (mallard), 857 nucleotides long. RefSeq lists it as uncharacterized. The record is from RefSeq and is a predicted model, not a curated record. NCBI's taxonomy places the organism in Eukaryota, Metazoa, Chordata, Aves, Anseriformes, Anatidae.